AUUGAACGCUGGCGGCAUGCCUUACACAUGCAAGUCGAACGGCAGCACGGGAGCAAUCCUGGUGGCGAGUGGCGAACGGGUGAGUAAAGUAUCGGAACGUGCCCAGUCGUGGGGGAUAACGUAGCGAAAGUUACGCUAAUACCGCAUACGAUCUAUGGAUGAAAGCGGGGGAUCGCAAGACCUCGCGCGAUUGGAGCGGCCGAUAUCCGAUUAGGUAGUUGGUGGGGUAAAGGCUCACCAAGCCGACGAUCUGUAGCUGGUCUGAGAGGACGACCAGCCAAACUGGGGAUGAGACACGGCCCAGACUCCUACGGGAGGCAGCAGUGGGGAAUUUUGGACAAUGGGCGAAAGCCUGAUCCAGCCAUGCCGCGUGCAGGAUGAAGGCCUUCGGGUUGUAAACUGCUUUUGUACGGAACGAAAAGGUUUGGCCUAAUAAGCUGAGCUCAUGACGGUACCGUAAGAAUAAGCACCGGCUAACUACGUGCCAGCCGCCGCAGUAA
This 500-nucleotide ribosomal RNA is filed under the name uncultured bacterium. RNAcentral's name for it is "partial 16S ribosomal RNA". It matches the Rfam family "Bacterial small subunit ribosomal RNA", at positions 30 to 523 of the family's 1533-position model. The record is from RNAcentral.